GCUUUGUUGGUAAAGCGCUAGUCUAGCAUACAAGAGUUCUGGGUUCAAAUCCCAG
RNAcentral lists this transfer RNA (55 nucleotides) under Aedes aegypti (yellow fever mosquito). It matches the Rfam family "tRNA", at positions 10 to 63 of the family's 71-position model. Rfam says of the family: Transfer RNA (tRNA) molecules are approximately 80 nucleotides in length. Their secondary structure includes four short double-helical elements and three loops (D, anti-codon, and T loops). Lineage: Eukaryota; Metazoa; Arthropoda; Insecta; Diptera; Culicidae. The record is from Rfam by way of RNAcentral.